GCGGCGGGGCUGCGGCGGGCCUGCUGGGACGCGCACCUGCCCGGCCUCGGCCCGGGGCGCCCGGGCGCAGCCCCGAGGUCUGGAGGUCAGCCGGCGCGUGCGGCCCCCAGCUAAGCCACCGAGAGCAGGCCGGACCCCCGCCCGCAGACGUCCCCCGGCCCUCCGAGGGGCGGCCUGGGUGCGAGCGCCGCGGUCGCUGGGGCCGCACCUGCGGGGUCCUAGGCUUUGUCUGCGCUCGCCUUCUGCAGCCGCCGUCCCGGGGAGCCCUGAUCUGCGGCCUCGCUGAGCGUCCUGCUUGUCCAGCGCUGUCCUGGGCCUCCAGGGCCGCCCCCCAGUUCAGCACCAGAUUGCACGUGACGGCGUCCGCUGCAGAUUUCACCGCGGGGGGGCAGAGAGGUGUGAGCUGUGUCCAACACCCAGGGGAGUGUUUGCUCCAGCUGAGUGGUCACCUGGACUCAGGGCCGCCUGCCGUUAGGCCCCGCUCCCCCACUGGGAUGAACCUGUGCAGCCUCUUGGGGCGAUCUCCCACACCCGACGUCACGGCCCGGCCACUGAGUGCCCUCCGACACGACUCCCCGAGCUGGGAUGCUCACUGCAGCGACACCAGAGCCUGGACAGCCCAGGAGUGACCUUGGGCGGGACGAGGGGAGCCGUUGGUGGGUAUUGUCACCAUCAGUGUGGUGCAGAGCUGUGUGCAGGCUGAGCGGUGGGGUGAGGGACAGACAGACAGACCCAUGGGUACAUAGCUCACCCGACAGCUGGCCUUGGGGGCCUACAAACAAAGACCCCCGUCCACCCAAGGAGUAAUGAAAGCGCCCAGCCGGCGUCCGGUUGCUCCCUGGUCACCUGCUCAGCCACACCCGGAGUUUAUCCCUGAUCAGGGACCUCCUUCUGGGACCCCCUCCUCUGCCUUCCGGGGGGCUGCUUCGUCUGGGACAAAACCUGCUCAUUUCUCCAGACAUGCGGCGCCCCCACCCCCGGAAGGAACCUUGCACGCCUCCUGUGAUUCACAGCAUUUUACCGUUCUGAAACCUCCUCUUUUUAAAUAUUUCAUCGGGC
This 1059-nucleotide long non-coding RNA is filed under the name Canis lupus dingo (dingo). Its description in RNAcentral is "lncRNA (ENSCAFG00020001225.1)". Lineage: Eukaryota; Metazoa; Chordata; Mammalia; Carnivora; Canidae. The record is from RNAcentral.